This is a long non-coding RNA of Anastrepha obliqua, 438 nucleotides long. RefSeq lists it as uncharacterized. The record is from RefSeq and is a predicted model, not a curated record. The transcript has 3 exons. NCBI's taxonomy places the organism in Eukaryota, Metazoa, Arthropoda, Insecta, Diptera, Tephritidae.
GCGAAAUGCGAUGGGCAUCUGAGAUACGGUUUCGUAAAGGUGAAGCUUCACAUUUACAAAACAGACACAGAUGCAAUUGAGUUCCUCGCCACUAAGGAAGGUGAAAAGCUCAUGGGCGAACCAGAACCCAUGAGCGAAACCGAGCCAAUGAGCGAAGACGACCGGCCCACCGAAGAAGAAUACGCCUCUUCAGGCUCAGAAAUGGGCUUAGGGAGGCUGUACUUCGAACGGGAGGAUAAACCUUCAUCACUGUAAAGAAGCCUGCCUUGCCCUCCUGGAGCGUCUGGCAGAAGAUCAGCCGGACGUAGUCCUCAUCCAGGAACCCUGGGUACGGAAUGGCGAAAUCUGCGGUCUGAGGACAUCAGGGUAUAAAGUAUACAAGACCAAUGGUGAAGUAACGCAGAUACUACGACGGUUAGCUGGGAAGUGAGCGGAAGC